Molecule: small RNA, 421 nt
Filed under: Influenza B virus (B/Brisbane/60/2008)
Lineage: Riboviria; Orthornavirae; Negarnaviricota; Insthoviricetes; Articulavirales; Orthomyxoviridae
Description: PB1-B
Source: RNAcentral
AGCAGAAGCGGAGCCUUUAAGAUGAAUAUAAAUCCUUAUUUUCUCUUCAUAGAUGUGCCCGUACAGGCAGCAAUUUCAACAACAUUCCCAUACACUGGUGUUCCCCCUUAUUCCCAUGGAACAGGAACAGGCUACACAAUAGACACCGUGAUCAGAACGCAUGAGUACUCAAACAAGGGGAAACAGUACAUUUCUGAUGUUACAGGAUGCACAAUGGUAGAUCCAACAAAUGGACCAUUACGGAUGCACGAUUAGAUUAUGAAUCAGGGAGAAUGUCAAAGGAUGAUUUUGAGAAAGCAAUGGCUCACCUUGGUGAGAUUGGGUACAUAUAAGCUUCGAAGAUGUUUAUGGGGUUAUUGGUCAUCAUUGAAUACAUGCGAUACACAAAUGAUUAAAAUGAAAAAAGGCUCGUGUUUCUACU